This 85-nucleotide transfer RNA is filed under the name Felis catus (domestic cat). It matches the Rfam family "tRNA". From Rfam's summary of the family: Transfer RNA (tRNA) molecules are approximately 80 nucleotides in length. Their secondary structure includes four short double-helical elements and three loops (D, anti-codon, and T loops). Further hydrogen bonds mediate the characteristic L-shaped molecular structure. tRNAs have two regions of fundamental functional importance: the anti-codon, which is responsible for specific mRNA codon recognition, and the 3' end, to which the tRNAs corresponding amino acid is attached (by aminoacyl-tRNA synthetases). tRNAs cope with the degeneracy of the genetic code in two manners: having more than one tRNA (with a specific anti-codon) for a particular amino acid; and 'wobble' base-pairing, i.e. permitting non-standard base-pairing at the 3rd anti-codon position. The record is from Rfam by way of RNAcentral. Lineage: Eukaryota; Metazoa; Chordata; Mammalia; Carnivora; Felidae. RNAcentral also lists the same sequence under 1 other name.
GCCUGGGUGGCUGAGUCGGUUAAGCGUCUGACUUCGACUCAGGUCAUGAUCUCACAGUUCGUGGAUUCGAGCCCCAUGUUGGGCU